GGAAAGCAAGCCAGUAAACAGCAUUUCUCCAAGGCCCAGGGCCCUGCUCCAGUCCUGCCCUGAUUUCCUUCAGGGAUGGAUUGUCACCUAGAACUGCAAACUAGCUGCCUAAGGACAACCAACAGUGCUCAUCCAGCUGCCAGCAUCUUCCGUGGAAGACUGAAUUUGUCCUGAAGGAAAACAGGAUCUCGGGAGACUACACAGCAACAACACCCUUUCUUGGGGCUGGGAAUGACGCAGCUGGGGGAUGCUUAGAGCCCGAGCUUGGCCCACAAUGGGGAAGCCCAGCUGCAAUAAAGUCAUCACAGAAGGAGCAAAGGAGUCAGACCCAAGGACAUCGACUGAACCCCAGAGCCCUUCCCUGGAAGGCUCGGGUACAUCCGAAACCCUGGAAGCUCCUGCUGCGUCUCCCGGAUCCACGCAGAGAACAAGAGGAAGCCUGGAGUCCCAAGAAGUAGCCCGCCAUAGCAAGGCAACAUCUCGGCGCCUGAUCCGCUGUGAUUUGAUCUGCCACGCCACCUCGGAGACAGACGGAGCAGCCCUUCAUUCCGGUCACACUCGCAGCGCUUUGCUGGGUCAGCCGCUGUGACUCAGUGCUGCGCCCUAGACCCGGCUGGCGCACGUGGCUGUGCACACGCGCCCUGGCUUCCAGGAGGCGCAGCCACCGCGAGAGGCCUCCCGGGGGCCCAGGCCAGGGGCGCCGCGGUGCCUACCCAUUAAUUAUUA
This is a long non-coding RNA of Meriones unguiculatus (Mongolian gerbil), 726 nucleotides long. RefSeq lists it as uncharacterized. The record is from RefSeq and is a predicted model, not a curated record. The transcript has 6 exons. NCBI's taxonomy places the organism in Eukaryota, Metazoa, Chordata, Mammalia, Rodentia, Muridae.